RNAcentral lists this ribosomal RNA (497 nucleotides) under uncultured bacterium. RNAcentral's name for it is "partial 16S ribosomal RNA". It matches the Rfam family "Bacterial small subunit ribosomal RNA", at positions 28 to 507 of the family's 1533-position model. The record is from RNAcentral.
GACGAACGCUGGCGGCGUGCUUAACACAUGCAAGUCGAACGGUGAAGCGCCUUCCUUUUUGCUGGGUGUGGAUGAGUGGCGAACGGGUGAGUAACACGCGAGUAUCCUGCCCCCAUCUUCUGGAUAACCGCAUGAAAGUGCGGCUAAUACGGAAUAUUCUGGGCCUGUCGCAUGAUGGGUCUUGGAAAGAUAUUGUUUCGGUGGGGGAUGGGCUCGCGCCGAAUUAGCUUGUUGGUGAGGUGAUGGCUUACCAAGGCGGCGAUGCGUAGCCGCCCUGAGAGGGUGAUCGGCCAUCAUAGAACUGAGACACGGUCCAGACGCCUACGGGAGGCAGCAGUAGUGAAUCUUACGCCACGGGCGAAAGCCUGACGGAGCAACGACGCGUCAUUAGUGAAGGUCUUCGGAUCGUAAAAAUCUGUUAUUGGGGAAGAACAAAUGUGUCAGUAACUAUGCACGUCUUGACGGUAGCUAGUCAGAAAGCCACGGCUAACUACGUG